CUUCCGCUUCCGGUCGCGCGCCGGAAAGGCGGGGCCUGAGCUGUCAGACCUGAGGGGUGGCUGUCUCCUCCCACCGGGCGAGACCGAACAGCCUCCUGUAAAAUGUCGGAUGAAAAUAGCGAGCCCCUUUGAAAUGCACAGAGAAUCUCUAAAUGAAAAGACAAGCCACAAACAGAGAAAAUCUGUAACUGAGGAGACGCUGCUAUCCUGACAUAACGAGAACGUGCAGAGACCAACCAGAUGGGCACACGAGUGCAGGAGAGACUGGAAGGGGCCCGAGCAGCACUCCCGGCUGGAGGCCAGACCAGUGGUGCCUCCCUGUGUCCUUAGGAAGGCCUUGGGGCCCCCUCCUGCCCUGCAGCCCACAUGAGCCUCAGACUGCAGCCCAGGGUGCUUCCCUCAUGGGCCCUGCUGUGUCCCCUCUCACCCAGGCCUCUGUGACCUUGUCCCACCCACUCCUUGCCCUCUGGCUCCCAGACUAGCCCCAGCCCUGCAGGCUGCUGUUCUUGUGACUCUCAGUGUGGCCUUGGUCACCUGGGCUACACUGCCCCAGUCUGUGCAGUGCCCGUGUCCUUCUGCCUUGCAGAACUUGGUUCUGUGGUCACGUGUCAGCACCCUAUCCCUGUGCACACUCAGGGAUGUCAGCUCUAGCACAACACCGACCUCUUUCUUUCCUUGCUGCGUCCCCGGCACUGUCACAGGCCCACUCAGCAGAACCUCAACAGCACCGCUGGUGGACAUAAAACAACUACCAACCAGGGCGCCUGGGUGGCUCAGCCAGUUAAGCAUCCGACUUCGGCUCAGAUCAUGACCUCACCGUUGACGAGUUCAAGCCCCACGUCGGGCUCUGUGCUGACAGCUCAGAGCCUGGAGCCUGCUUGGGAUUCUGGGUCUCCCUCUUUCUCUGCUCCUCCCGUGUUCAUGCUCUCUCUCUGUCUCAAAAAUAAAUACAAACAUUUAAAAAAACCCACAAAAAACAACUACCUACCAUUCUGCCCCCAGGUGGACAAAACCAGUGUGCCCAGUGAUGCCAAGUGUCGCAGCGACAAGAGGCCUGGUGGGGGCUGGUGGGGGCUUGUGGACUGAUGUCCCUCAGACUUCAUACUCGAGACCUGCUCUGCUGGGCCAUGGGGACGGGACCAGUGCCCCGAACAAAGAGGCUGCACAGAGCUCCCCAGCCCCUUUCUCCACGUGAGUGCAGUGACUUUAUGGCCCUUCACCGGGCCUGCAGCACCCUAAUCACAAACCUGCACACGCACACACAUGCACACACUCACGGGGGCCAGGUGUCUGCUCCCUCAGGACAGGUCAAGUCUGGGGGACCCGAAAGGCACCUGGGAGGGUCCCCCAUCCCUCAACGAUGGGUAAGAGGGGGCUGGUGGGUGGAGGGAGGGAGCUCUGCUGAGGCCACAGCACGCGGCGCCAAGCGCUCAGCCUCCUGCCUGCAUCUUUGGGCCCCAGCAUUUUAUUUUUGCCUUUUAUCCAGCAGUAAAGGACUGUCUUAGAAUGAAAUGAAUCAACACACCGAAGGAAAUAGUUACUU
Molecule: long non-coding RNA, 1543 nt
Organism: Felis catus (domestic cat)
Lineage: Eukaryota; Metazoa; Chordata; Mammalia; Carnivora; Felidae
Exons: 3
Source: RefSeq, a predicted model, not a curated record